Small nuclear RNA from Jaculus jaculus (lesser Egyptian jerboa), 107 nucleotides. The record is from Ensembl. Lineage: Eukaryota; Metazoa; Chordata; Mammalia; Rodentia; Dipodidae.
GUGCUCGCUUCGGCAGCACGUUUACUAAAAUUGGAACAAUACAGAGAAGAUUAGCAUGUCCCCUGCACAAGGAUGACACGCAAAUUCGUGAAGCAUUCCAUAUUAAA